Molecule: ribosomal RNA, 271 nt
Filed under: uncultured bacterium
Lineage: Bacteria
Description: partial 16S ribosomal RNA
Rfam family: Bacterial small subunit ribosomal RNA
Source: RNAcentral
UACGGAGGGUGCAAGCGUUAAUCGGAAUUACUGGGCGUAAAGAGUGCGUAGGUGGUUAAUUAAGUUAUCUGUGAAAUCCCUGGGCUCAACCUGGGCAGGUCAGAUGAUACUGAUUAACUCGAGUACGGGAGAGGGUAGUGGAAUUUCCGGUGUAGCGGUGAAAUGUGUAGAGAUCGGAAGGAACACCAGUGGCGAAGGCGGCUACCUGGCCUGAUACUGACACUGAGGCACGAAAGCGUGGGGAGCAAACAGGAUUAGAACCUACGGUAGU